CUUCGGCUCGUAAACCCCUGUCAUUUGCGAACAAACCCUCACAUUGAACAGGUGUGAGAUUGAUUGUAGCGAAAGAGGAAGGGACGGCUAACUCUGUGCCAGCAGCCGCGGUAAUACAGAGGUCCCGAGCGUUGUUCGGAUUCACUGGGCGUAAAGGGUGCGUAGGUGGUGGGGUAAGUCUCGUGUGAAAGCUCGCAGCUCAACUGCGAAAAGUCACGGGAUACUAUUCUGCUGGAGGCUUGGAGGGGGGACUGGAAUACUUGGUGUAGCAGUGAAAUGCGUAGAUAUCAAGUGGAACACCAGUGGCGAAGGCGAGUCCCUGGACAAGACCUGACACUGAGGCACGAAAGCCAGGGGAGCAAACAGGAUUAGAUACCCUGGUAGUCCUGGCUGUAAACGGUGCACGUUUGCUGUAAGAGGAAUCGACCCCUUUUGUGGCGAAGCUAACGCGCUAAACGUGCCGCCUGGGAAGUACGGUCGCAAGAUUA
Molecule: ribosomal RNA, 488 nt
Filed under: uncultured Verrucomicrobiota bacterium
Lineage: Bacteria; Pseudomonadati; Verrucomicrobiota
Description: bacterial SSU rRNA
Rfam family: Bacterial small subunit ribosomal RNA
Source: RNAcentral